GACGAACGCUGGCGGCGUGCUUAACACAUGCAAGUCGAACGGAAAGGCCCUGCUUUUGUGGUGUGCUCGAGUGGCGAACGGGUGAGUAACACGUGAGUAACCUGCCCUUGACUUUGGGAUAACUUCAGGAAACUGGGGCUAAUACCGGAUAGGAGCUCCUGCUGCAUGGUGGGGGUUGGAAAGUUUCGGCGGUUGGGGAUGGACUCGCGGCUUAUCAGCUUGUUGGUGGGGUAGUGGCUUACCAAGGCUUUGACGGGUAGCCGGCCUGAGAGGGUGACCGGCCACAUUGGGACUGAGAUACGGCCCAGACUCCUACGGGAGGCAGCAGUGGGGAAUAUUGCACAAUGGGCGGAAGCCUGAUGCAGCAACGCCGCGUGCGGGAUGACGGCCUUCGGGUUGUAAACCGCUUUCGCCUGUGACGAAGCGUGAGUGACGGGAAUGGGUAAAGAAGCACCGGCGAACUACGU
Molecule: ribosomal RNA, 467 nt
Filed under: uncultured bacterium
Lineage: Bacteria
Description: partial 16S ribosomal RNA
Rfam family: Bacterial small subunit ribosomal RNA
Source: RNAcentral